RNAcentral lists this ribosomal RNA (255 nucleotides) under uncultured bacterium. RNAcentral's name for it is "partial 16S ribosomal RNA". It matches the Rfam family "Bacterial small subunit ribosomal RNA", at positions 524 to 776 of the family's 1533-position model. The record is from RNAcentral.
UACGGAGGGGGCUAGCGUUGUUCGGAAUUACUGGGCGUAAAGCGCACGUAGGCGGCGAUCUAAGUCAGAGGUGAAAGCCCGGGGCUCAACCCCCGGAAUAGCCUUUGAGACUGGAUUGCUAGAAUCUUGGAGAGGCGGGUGGAAUUCCGAGUGUAGGAGGUGAAAUUCGUAGAUAUUCGGAAGAACACCAGUGGCGAAGGCGGCGAUCUGGGUCGAUACUGACGCUGAGGUGCGAAAGCGUGGGGAGCAAACAGG